RNAcentral lists this ribosomal RNA (497 nucleotides) under uncultured bacterium. RNAcentral's name for it is "partial 16S ribosomal RNA". It matches the Rfam family "Bacterial small subunit ribosomal RNA", at positions 28 to 507 of the family's 1533-position model. The record is from RNAcentral.
GAUGAACGCUGGCGGCGUGCCUAAUACAUGCAAGUCGAGCGAACAGACGAGGAGCUUGCUCCUCUGACGUUAGCGGCGGACGGGUGAGUAACACGUGGAUAACCUACCUAUAAGACUGGGAUAACUUCGGGAAACCGGAGCUAAUAUCGGAUAAUAUAUUGAACCGCAUGGUUCAAUAGUGAAAGACGGUUUUGCUGUCCCUUAUAGAUGGAUCCGCGCCGCAUUAGCUAGUUGGUGAGGUAACGGCUUACCAAGGCAACGAUGCGUAGCCGACCUGAGAGGGUGAUCGGCCACACUGGAACUGAGACACGGUCCAGACUCCUACGGGAGGCAGCAGUAGGGAAUCUUCCGCAAUGGGCGAAAGCCUGACGGAGCAACGCCGCGUGAGUGAUGAAGGUCUUCGGAUCGUAAAACUCUGUUAUUAGGGAAGAACAAAUGUGUAAGUAACUAUGCACGUCUUGACGGUACCUAAUCAGAAAGCCACGGCUAACUACGUG